ACCUUCGGGCCUCUUGCCAUCAGAUGUGCCCAGAUGGGAUUAGCUUGUUGGUGAGGUAACGGCUCACCAAGGCGACGAUCCCUAGCUGGUCUGAGAGGAUGACCAGCCACACUGGAACUGAGACACGGUCCAGACUCCUACGGGAGGCAGCAGUGGGGAAUAUUGCACAAUGGGCGCAAGCCUGAUGCAGCCAUGCCGCGUGUAUGAAGAAGGCCUUCGGGUUGUAAAGUACUUUCAGCGGGGAGGAAGGUGUUGUGGUUAAUAACCGCAGCAAUUGACGUUACCCGCAGAAGAAGCACCGGCUAACUCCGUGCCAGCAGCCGCGGUAAUACGGAGGGUGCAAGCGUUAAUCGGAAUUACUGGGCGUAAAGCGCACGCAGGCGGUCUGUCAAGUCGGAUGUGAAAUCCCCGGGCUCAACCUGGGAACUGCAUUCGAAACUGGCAGGCUUGAGUCUUGUAG
This 460-nucleotide ribosomal RNA is filed under the name Salmonella enterica subsp. enterica serovar Johannesburg. RNAcentral describes it as "bacterial SSU rRNA". It matches the Rfam family "Bacterial small subunit ribosomal RNA", at positions 199 to 654 of the family's 1533-position model. The record is from RNAcentral. Lineage: Bacteria; Pseudomonadati; Pseudomonadota; Gammaproteobacteria; Enterobacterales; Enterobacteriaceae.